AGCGUACACGGUGGAUGCCCUGGCAGUCAGAGGCGAUGAAGGACGUGCUAAUCUGCGAUAAGCGUCGGUAAGGUGAUAUGAACCGUUAUAACCGGCGAUUUCCGAAUGGGGAAACCCAGUGUGAUUCGUCACACUAUCAUUAACUGAAUCCAUAGGUUAAUGAGGCGAACCGGGGGAACUGAAACAUCUAAGUACCCCGAGGAAAAGAAAUCAACCGAGAUUCCCCCAGUAGCGGCGAGCGAACGGGGAGCAGCCCAGAGCCUGAAUCAGUGUGUGUGUUAGUGGAAGCGUCUGGAAAGGCGCGCGAUACAGGGUGACAGCCCCGUACACAAAAAUGCACAUAUUGUGAGCUCGAUGAGUAGGGCGGGACACGUGGUAUCCUGUCUGAAUAUGGGGGGACCAUCCUCCAAGGCUAAAUACUCCUGACUGACCGAUAGUGAACCAGUACCGUGAGGGAAAGGCGAAAAGAACCCCGGCGAGGGGAGUGAAAAAGAACCUGAAACCGUGUACGUACAAGCAGUGGGAGCCUCUUUAUGGGGUGACUGCGUACCUUUUGUAUAAUGGGUCAGCGACUUAUAUUCUGUAGCAAGGUUAACCGAAUAGGGGAGCCGAAGGGAAACCGAGUCUUAACUGGGCGUUAAGUUGCAGGGUAUAGACCCGAAACCCGGUGAUCUAGCCAUGGGCAGGUUGAAGGUUGGGUAACACUAACUGGAGGACCGAACCGACUAAUGUUGAAAAAUUAGCGGAUGACUUGUGGCUGGGGGUGAAAGGCCAAUCAAACCGGGAGAUAGCUGGUUCUCCCCGAAAGCUAUUUAGGUAGCGCCUCGUGAAUUCAUCUCCGGGGGUAGAGCACUGUUUCGGCAAGGGGGUCAUCCCGACUUACCAACCCGAUGCAAACUGCGAAUACCGGAGAAUGUUAUCACGGGAGACACACGGCGGGUGCUAACGUCCGUCGUGAAGAGGGAAACAACCCAGACCGCCAGCUAAGGUCCCAAAGUCAUGGUUAAGUGGGAAACGAUGUGGGAAGGCCCAGACAGCCAGGAUGUUGGCUUAGAAGCAGCCAUCAUUUAAAGAAAGCGUAAUAGCUCACUGGUCGAGUCGGCCUGCGCGGAAGAUGUAACGGGGCUAAACCAUGCACCGAAGCUGCGGCAGCGACGCUUAUGCGUUGUUGGGUAGGGGAGCGUUCUGUAAGCCUGUGAAGGUGUGCUGUGAGGCAUGCUGGAGGUAUCAGAAGUGCGAAUGCUGACAUAAGUAACGAUAAAGCGGGUGAAAAGCCCGCUCGCCGGAAGACCAAGGGUUCCUGUCCAACGUUAAUCGGGGCAGGGUGAGUCGACCCCUAAGGCGAGGCCGAAAGGCGUAGUCGAUGGGAAACAGGUUAAUAUUCCUGUACUUGGUGUUACUGCGAAGGGGGGACGGAGAAGGCUAUGUUGGCCGGGCGACGGUUGUCCCGGUUUAAGCGUGUAGGCUGGUUUUCCAGGCAAAUCCGGAAAAUCAAGGCUGAGGCGUGAUGACGAGGCACUACGGUGCUGAAGCAACAAAUGCCCUGCUUCCAGGAAAAGCCUCUAAGCAUCAGGUAACAUCAAAUCGUACCCCAAACCGACACAGGUGGUCAGGUAGAGAAUACCAAGGCGCUUGAGAGAACUCGGGUGAAGGAACUAGGCAAAAUGGUGCCGUAACUUCGGGAGAAGGCACGCUGAUAUGUAGGUGAAGUCCCUCGCGGAUGGAGCUGAAAUCAGUCGAAGAUACCAGCUGGCUGCAACUGUUUAUUAAAAACACAGCACUGUGCAAACACGAAAGUGGACGUAUACGGUGUGACGCCUGCCCGGUGCCGGAAGGUUAAUUGAUGGGGUCAGCGCAAGCGAAGCUCUUGAUCGAAGCCCCGGUAAACGGCGGCCGUAACUAUAACGGUCCUAAGGUAGCGAAAUUCCUUGUCGGGUAAGUUCCGACCUGCACGAAUGGCGUAAUGAUGGCCAGGCUGUCUCCACCCGAGACUCAGUGAAAUUGAACUCGCUGUGAAGAUGCAGUGUACCCGCGGCAAGACGGAAAGACCCCGUGAACCUUUACUAUAGCUUGACACUGAACAUUGAGCCUUGAUGUGUAGGAUAGGUGGGAGGCUUUGAAGUGUGGACGCCAGUCUGCAUGGAGCCGACCUUGAAAUACCACCCUUUAAUGUUUGAUGUUCUAACGUUGACCCGUGAUCCGGGUUGCGGACAGUGUCUGGUGGGUAGUUUGACUGGGGCGGUCUCCUCCUAAAGAGUAACGGAGGAGCACGAAGGUUGGCUAAUCCUGGUCGGACAUCAGGAGGUUAGUGCAAUGGCAUAAGCCAGCUUGACUGCGAGCGUGACGGCGCGAGCAGGUGCGAAAGCAGGUCAUAGUGAUCCGGUGGUUCUGAAUGGAAGGGCCAUCGCUCAACGGAUAAAAGGUACUCCGGGGAUAACAGGCUGAUACCGCCCAAGAGUUCAUAUCGACGGCGGUGUUUGGCACCUCGAUGUCGGCUCAUCACAUCCUGGGGCUGAAGUAGGUCCCAAGGGUAUGGCUGUUCGCCAUUUAAAGUGGUACGCGAGCUGGGUUUAGAACGUCGUGAGACAGUUCGGUCCCUAUCUGCCGUGGGCGCUGGAGAACUGAGGGGGGCUGCUCCUAGUACGAGAGGACCGGAGUGGACGCAUCACUGGUGUUCGGGUUGUCAUGCCAAUGGCACUGCCCGGUAGCUAAAUGCGGAAGAGAUAAGUGCUGAAAGCAUCUAAGCACGAAACUUGCCCCGAGAUGAGUUCUCCCUGACUCCUUGA
RNAcentral lists this ribosomal RNA (2786 nucleotides) under Escherichia coli. RNAcentral describes it as "bacterial LSU rRNA". It matches the Rfam family "Bacterial large subunit ribosomal RNA". The record is from RNAcentral. Lineage: Bacteria; Pseudomonadati; Pseudomonadota; Gammaproteobacteria; Enterobacterales; Enterobacteriaceae.